RNAcentral lists this ribosomal RNA (253 nucleotides) under uncultured bacterium. Its description in RNAcentral is "partial 16S ribosomal RNA". It matches the Rfam family "Bacterial small subunit ribosomal RNA", at positions 524 to 776 of the family's 1533-position model. The record is from RNAcentral.
UACGUAGGGGGCAAGCGUUGUCCGGAAUCAUUGGGCGUAAAGCGCGCGUAGGCGGCCAGAUAAGUCCGGUGUGAAAGUCAAAGGCUCAACCUUUGAAUGCCGCUGGAAACUGUCUGGCUUGAGUCCGGAAGGGGCGAGUGGAAUUCCUGGUGUAGCGGUGAAAUGCGCAGAUAUCAGGAGGAACACCGGUGGCGAAGGCGGGUCUCUGGGCCGAAAUUGACGCUGAGGAGCGAAAGCGUGGGGAGCAAACAGG